RNAcentral lists this ribosomal RNA (218 nucleotides) under Campeiostachys nutans. Its description in RNAcentral is "Elymus nutans partial small subunit ribosomal RNA". The stretch from base 46 to 218 matches the Rfam family "Eukaryotic small subunit ribosomal RNA", at positions 691 to 864 of the family's 1831-position model. Lineage: Eukaryota; Viridiplantae; Streptophyta; Magnoliopsida; Poales; Poaceae. The record is from RNAcentral.
GGGUUCAUACGUUGGUCGGGCUUUAGGGUCUGUACUGGCGGGAUGAAUUCCUACCUUCUGAAUAACCAGCAUGUCAUUAAUUUGAUGCGCUGGGGAAGCAGGACUGUUACCUUGAAAAAAUUAGAGUGCUUAAAGCAGGCUAUUGCCUGAAUACAUUAGCAUGGAAUAAUGAAACAGGACGGCAUGGUUCUAUUUUGUUGGUUUCUAGGAUCACCGUA